This 270-nucleotide long non-coding RNA is filed under the name Gallus gallus (chicken). The record is from RNAcentral. Lineage: Eukaryota; Metazoa; Chordata; Aves; Galliformes; Phasianidae.
GGGAGGCAGAAGUUAAUGCAGAUAUCCAGCAUUCAGUCAUCUUCCUAUUUUACUGACAAUAAUGGAAUACUAUGGAGAAACAAGAUUCUGACAUUCAAGACACCCAAAGCAAAGGCCUAUCUUACCUAUCUCCACUAGAAGGAAUUGCAAUAGGUCAGUUUAUGUCAUAUACAGAUGAAUAUUCAAAGGUUUCUCUCAUAUGUGGCAACCCCUUUCCCUUAUAUUAUUCUUCCAAUCACAGAAUCACAGAAUAUUUUUUGUACUGGGGAG